This is a long non-coding RNA of Ornithodoros turicata, 247 nucleotides long. RefSeq lists it as uncharacterized. Lineage: Eukaryota; Metazoa; Arthropoda; Arachnida; Ixodida; Argasidae. The record is from RefSeq and is a predicted model, not a curated record. The transcript is spliced from 3 exons.
CUGCAUACGGAACAAUAUGUACACGUUGGCAAGCAUGGGUGAGAAAUAUUUUGAACAUGCAGGCAUUACCUGGGAGCAGUUCCGUACCGGCAUACGUGAGAUGGAGAUCUGCAUGGUGGAGAAAAAGGUCGUGCCCCAGGAUGGGAACAUUGCCUUGGCUGUUCUCCGCUGGUUUCGUUCUACAUUCUUUCGCUAGAGUAGAUAACGGGAGACCUGGAAUACACCUAUCUGAAUGAAUACAUAUAUG